GGCUCAGUGGUCUAGUAGUAUGAUUCUCGCUUCGGGUUAUUCCAGGCUGUGGCAGCCGAAGAUGCGAGAGGUCCCGGGUUCAAUUCCCGGCUGAGCCC
Non-coding RNA from Gloeophyllum trabeum ATCC 11539, 98 nucleotides. The record is from the annotation of a RefSeq genome assembly. NCBI's taxonomy places the organism in Eukaryota, Fungi, Basidiomycota, Agaricomycetes, Gloeophyllales, Gloeophyllaceae.